AUACGGAAGGUCCGGGCGUUAUCCGGAUUUAUUGGGUUUAAAGGGAGCGCAGGCGGAGAUGCAAGCGUGACGUCAAAUUUCGGGGCUCAACCCCGUCUCGCGUCGCGAACUGCGUCCCUUGGUUGCGGGAAGGGGAGGCGGAACUCGUGUGUAGCGGUGAAAUGCAUAGAUAUCACGAAGAACUCCGAUCGCGAAGGCAGCCUUCCGGCCCGUCAACGACGCUCAUGCUCGAAGGUGCGGGUAUCAAACAGGAUUAGAUACCCUGGUAGUCCGCACAGUAAACGAUGGACACCCGCGGUUUGGCCUGUAUGGCUGAGCCGCCAAGCGAAAGCGUUAAGUGUCCCACCGGGGGAGUACGCCGGCAACGGUGAAACUCAAAUGAAUUGGCGGGG
This 392-nucleotide ribosomal RNA is filed under the name uncultured bacterium. Its description in RNAcentral is "partial 16S ribosomal RNA". It matches the Rfam family "Bacterial small subunit ribosomal RNA", at positions 523 to 918 of the family's 1533-position model. The record is from RNAcentral.